AAAUAUGGUCACUGAUCAUCAGUCAUUGUAAUAAGUCUGCAAUAACUGAUUGCAGACUUAUUUGUACAAUGACUGAUGAUCAGUGACCAUAUUGA
This is a non-coding RNA of Paramuricea clavata, 95 nucleotides long. NCBI's taxonomy places the organism in Eukaryota, Metazoa, Cnidaria, Anthozoa, Malacalcyonacea, Plexauridae. The record is from the annotation of a GenBank genome assembly.